UCUGAGAGUAUAUUGUUUAUCUAGAGUUUAUACUUGGUACUUUGGAGUUAGCCCCAGUGCAUAGGUUAGUUCACAUUUAUUCUUUGAGGCUUCCAAGGCACACCAGCAAGUGUGUACAGGGAGCAGCCAAAUGGAGGUACUGCCAAGAUUAAUUUCCUUAUAAGUGAAAGGACUGCAGCAGAGGGGUGGACAGAGGAUUCCUGUCUAUUCAACAUCACCACUGGGAUACUCAAGAUCUCCUUUACUGUUGACAAUAUCAGGAAUCCAGGAACACAGCAUUGCACCAGAGACCUGGACUAUCAAGCAGGCUUGUGAUCUCAUCUUCUGCAGAAGCAUCAUGUAUUGGCCCACUAAAGAGGAAGGACACCAAAGAUCACAAGUCAGAUGAGGGAAGAGAAUAAAUGCAGAAUCACAGCCACAACGACUGACAUCCUCCUCCUCAUCAGGAAUUUGGGCACCUCCAGAGGGACUAAAUGUUUAGAUGGUACAAAUCUUGUUGUAAGUACUGUUCAGAAGAGCUGUGUCAGGAAAUGGAUUUUCCAUCUCAAACAGUUUGAAAAAUAGUGUACCUCCCAUGGAAAUGAAAAGCUAAAACUUUAAAUUUUCAUGAAAUGAAAUGCUGAAAAAAAUUGUU
Molecule: long non-coding RNA, 634 nt
Organism: Dermochelys coriacea (leatherback sea turtle)
Lineage: Eukaryota; Metazoa; Chordata; Testudines; Dermochelyidae
Exons: 3
Source: RefSeq, a predicted model, not a curated record